RNAcentral lists this ribosomal RNA (225 nucleotides) under uncultured bacterium. RNAcentral's name for it is "partial 16S ribosomal RNA". It matches the Rfam family "Bacterial small subunit ribosomal RNA", at positions 109 to 334 of the family's 1533-position model. The record is from RNAcentral.
CGUAACACGUAUGUAACCUACCCAUAUCAGGGGGAUAGCCUCUCGAAAGAGAGAUUAAGCCCGCAUAAAAUCACAAGGUGGCAUCACCAAAUGAUCAAAUAUUUAUAGGAUAUGGAUGGGCAUGCGGAACAUUAGCUAGUUGGUAAGGUAACGGCUUACCAAGGCUACGAUGUUUAGGGGAUCUGAGAGGAUGACCCCCCACACUGGUACUGAGACACGGACCAG